GAGUCCCCCCGGCCCAACUGCAGACCCCUGCCUCUCCCAGGCCUCUCACCCUGGCAGUCGAGGUGCCCGCAGCCAGAGGACGGGCCCUGCCCAGGGGCCCCAGAGCCCAGGCGAAAACACACACACACACAGCACCCAACCCUCAGCUUCCUUCCUCCCUGCACGGCCAGUGCGAAGAACAGCAGGCAAGGGCCGGGGUGGGCGGAGGCGGCCACACCAGCACCACGCGGAGCCCCUAGCUGCCCCGGGCUCGGCCCACGGCCCCUCCUUCUCGUUCACAUCCUGGCGGGGGCAGGGCACACGGGUGCAGCGCAGAGACCAAGGCCCCCCGGGGGCGGCGGCGGGCACACUGAGGCUGGGCCUCUCCACCUGCAGCGCCCCCCACCACCCAGGAGCACUUGGCUGCUCCUGUCCCCACUCCCAGGAAGCACAGCAGGACACCACGGAAGUCAGGGGGCUUGGUGCGCAGGGAAGCCACCCCACAGCCCAGACCAGGGCCCCCAGCCCUCUGCUGACCGUUAUCUUGGAACAGAUUCACCAGAGGUCUCCACCCGCCACUGCCAGCAAGCCCAGCCCCACCUCCCUCCCGCAGACCCAGCCUGCCCCACACAGGCCUCAGUGCCCAGAACCCCAGCGCCCUGCAGUUGGUGUGGCCCUCCGCCCCUCUCAGUCCCAGGCCUGGCCCUCGGAGUAGAAGCAACCAUUCACUCCCCUUGCAUCUUCAUGCCAGGGACACUCGCUCCUGGAAGCCCUCCUCACACCCGUGUAGCGAGCUCAGGACAGGGCCCAGCCCUGUGGAUGCCAGCUCAGGUCUAAGCCCCCGCCCCGGAGGACAGGCAGGGUCCCGCCCCAGGCUCAGGACCCUGCCACCUCUGCCCUGCUCCAGCCCCACACCCCACCGCCCCUAAGACUUGGGAGACCAGCCCAGCCCGCCAGCCGCCCCUCACAGCCCCCCACAUCGGUGCUGGAAGGCGGGACCUCUCCAGGCCCGGACCCGGCUCCAUCUGCAGCCUCACAGCCAGCACCCCGCCCCACCGUGGGGCCCCGACUCUCACCCCCCCAGGGCGCUGCUGGUUCUGCCGCCAAGCAGACAGGAGGGGAGCUGACCCUCAGGAGGGCGGGAACCCCUGCGGCUCUAAGUGCCCCCGGCCCCGACUGAAGCACUGCAGGGCCCCUCCUCUGGCCUCUGACCCCCAAGACCUGGGAGCCAGAGGGGCUGCAGGCGCUCAGCGGGACGCAGCCACCCCCGCCAGACAGGACGGGACAUCCCUGGCACAGAGGACCAGGGCCCGGGCUGAAGGUGCUCCGGACACGGAAGCCCUGGACCCUGAGCCUGGACGCCGUGUCCGUCUGCCUCCCCACCUACCCUGCUCCAGCAGGUUCUCAGCCCACGCGGAAGGUGGGCACGGGGCGGGGUGGGGGCACAGGGUCCCUGUGAGGCACGGCCUGGUCCACAGGCAGGACAGCACUGCCCCCAGGCGCUCAGAGACCCCGCGCCCAGGCCUGGGCCUGUCCCAGCUUCUCCGGGAGGCCACACGCAACCCCCAGCCCCCCACCGCCCCAGGGCCGCGGCCNNNNNNNNNNNNNNNNNNNNNNNNNNNNNNNNNNNNNNNNNNNNNNNNNNNNNNNNNNNNNNNNNNNNNNNNNNNNNNNNNNNNNNNNNNNNNNNNNNNCACGCAACCCCCAGCCCCCCACCGCCCCAGGGCCGCGGCCGGUUCCCAGGCCCGGCCAGCAGCGUGCCCCGUCACGCCAGCCCGCAGCCCGGCCCCCGCCACCCCCGUGCUCAGGAUCAGGGUGACUCACGGGGCUGGCACGCCGCCUCCGGCCCCCGCCACGGGCGGCCGCCCUGAACACACACACACACCUGUCCGGACUUGAUGCCGCAGGCCGGCGGAGGGGCCUGGGAACUGUGGGCGGGGCCGGCCAGGCUCUGGGCCAUGAGGGGCCCCCGGGAGGGGCCCAGGAAGGCUGCACUCAGGCCGGCAACCAGGAGCUGCAGCCCGACCCCAGAGACCCCACAGGCCCAGGAGCUGCAGCCCGACCCCAGAGACCCCACAGGCCCAGGGAGCGGUUCGGGGAAGGGCCUGGGAGCCGCACUCCUGCCCACCCCACGUCAGCGGCCCAGACGCCAACCAACCGGCCGGGGAGAGUGCCAAGCCCUGCAAAUCUAGGCCCAGACCACCACCCUCUCUCCGUGAGGCCAAGCAUUGCCCUGGAGGCCGGGAAGGCCAAUAGGCCCCGACCAGCAUGGGUCUCAGGCGCUGGCAAGUGGCACCUGGGGAGCCCACCACAAGGACGAGCCCAGUCCAGCCACUCAGGCGUGUCCAGCUCUCCGGACUGCAGCCCCCAGGCCUCCCUGUCCAUCACCCGCUCCCGGAGCCUGCCCACACGUGUCCAUCGAGUCGGUGAUGCCAUCCAGCCCUCCCAUCCUCUGUCGCCCCCUUCUCCUCCUGCCUUCACUCUUUCCCAGCAUCAGGGUCUUUUCC
RNAcentral lists this long non-coding RNA (2486 nucleotides) under Capra hircus (goat). RNAcentral's name for it is "lncRNA (ENSCHIG00010027594.1)". Lineage: Eukaryota; Metazoa; Chordata; Mammalia; Artiodactyla; Bovidae. The record is from RNAcentral.